This 482-nucleotide ribosomal RNA is filed under the name uncultured bacterium. RNAcentral describes it as "partial 16S ribosomal RNA". It matches the Rfam family "Bacterial small subunit ribosomal RNA", at positions 30 to 507 of the family's 1533-position model. The record is from RNAcentral.
AUUGAACGCUGGCGGCAUGCCUUACACAUGCAAGUCGAACGGUAACAGGUCUUCGGAUGCUGACGAGUGGCGAACGGGUGAGUAAUACAUCGGAACGUGCCCAGACGUGGGGGAUAACGAGGCGAAAGCUUUGCUAAUACCGCAUACGAUCUAAGGAUGAAAGCAGGGGACCGCAAGGCCUUGCGCGUUUGGAGCGGCCGAUGGCAGAUUAGGUAGUUGGUGGGAUAAAAGCUUACCAAGCCGACGAUCUGUAGCUGGUCUGAGAGGACGACCAGCCACACUGGGACUGAGACACGGCCCAGACUCCUACGGGAGGCAGCAGUGGGGAAUUUUGGACAAUGGGCGAAAGCCUGAUCCAGCAAUGCCGCGUGCAGGAUGAAGGCCUUCGGGUUGUAAACUGCUUUUGUACGGAACGAAAAGGCUCUGGCUAAUACCUGGGGCACAUGACGGUACCGUAAGAAUAAACACCGGCUAACUACGUG